CCAGGCGGUCCUCGCCGCACCUCUGAGCUUCAUAUUUAAUGGAGCGGAGUUCCGACAUCGCCGUUGUGGGAGAAACAUGGAGUAGAGAGAGGAGUCAAGGGAACCCAUUUCGACGACGGUACAGCUCAUCUUGGCCGUCUUUCUCCUCCGUGCGAGGCCGUUUCCUUCUCCGCUCGCCUGAGCCGCGAUAGCAAGGUCCCGGCGGCGAACUCCGCCUACGCAGAGGUACGAGGCCUUCUUCUUUCGGCAGUCACCGGCGAUUUAUCUAGCUGCUCAUACUUCGUCCGCCGCGUGAUUUCGUCGCUCCUGGUUGAUGAUUUUCGGAAGGGGGGACCGUCAGGACUAGUGAGCAACCUUUGAUAAGGAAGGAUCGUAGAAGCCGAAACCACACAGCGAACGAUAAAUUCUCUUCCUAGAAUAGUAUCUCGUAGCUUUCUCCUAAGGAUGAGAAUUAUGUCCAAGGUUGGUCAAAGCCCGGGUGGCCAUGCAGAAUUUCAAGAGCCUCUCGGAGCCUGCGGGAGAUCCGAAGGGCAGCCAUGAUUUUCGAAUAGAGAGGAGGAAACGAUUUUCGAAUACUAACCUGAGGAAGAAACUUACAGCUAGAGAAUCACACAGAAAACAAGAGAAUACGGUUCUUUGAUUUCAAGACUUCAGAUCUGCUCGUUGACCAAUGUUUGAUCUUUGGAAGGCCUGGAGAGAUUUUGAUGAGCUAUCGAGUUCCUGUUUGCGUGAAGAUCGUGAGAAAAAGAAUUCACGGAAUUGUGAUUCUAUUUUUUGGAUUCUCCAUCUGCCCUUCUUGAGAAAUAUUAAAAUCUGUGCAAAUUACCAGUCUUUUAAUCUUAAAUAUCCAAUUAUUAGACAGAAUUACGAAAUACUUGAGACCGCCGGAGAGUCUUUCUCGGGCUGCAAGAUGAACGAUCUCUUAUCGGUAAUUUACUACUCAUUUAGAAGUGCACUUUUCCAGAAAAAAGAGGAGCAGGUGAAACGCUAUCGUUGGUUGACUUUUGGGUAACAGCGUCUUCGUCAGAAAAGUUAACUAUAAUAAUUCACGCCGAUGAACGGGAGAAUAUUAUCUCCACUAAAAUGGACAGCUCAAUUCUCUCUCUCUCUCNNNNNNNNNNNNNNNNNNNNCUCUCUCUCUCUCUCUCUAUAUAUAUAUAUAUAUAUAUAUAUAUAUAUAUAACAAGUGCGUACCAAGAGCCAGGCCGUACCGGACAUUUCCUGUUCUUGACGGUCAAUUGAAUCGUUUUUUGGUUUUAUCUCAUUAAAUGGAGAUAACAUGAUAUAAGGGUUCUCCGGAGAUUGACUCUUAUGGAAAUCUAAAUGCAUAUGUCUUAGACUUCCGGACCCAGCCCGGUUCUCCGUAUGUCUCUCCCAUUUCCUCAUCAGAUGUGGCCUCCUCCACGUCUGCAGAAGAUGUAUCACCCCGGCGAUAGUUGUGCCCCGGACAUUUUUUGCUGCCUAUGCUCAUAGAUUGUCAUGUUCAUCUCCUCGCCCAGAGCUCUCCUCCAGGACUUUGACUGCUGAGAAAGCGCAAUGAUUUCUGGCCUUUAAAAACUAACGCUGUAUCUUGGUGACGUGUCACCAUUGGUACGAUUGCGCGCGUUAUAAGUUCGCCGGACCCCAGCCUGGUAAAUUCGUCUGAACUACUGCCAUAUGGUCAUCGUGGGUCCGAACAACUAAAGCGUCUACAAAAGGGUAAGUUUUUUUCCGGGAUAAAUUUCUUAUUUGGUGUUGUUCAAUACUACUUUCGGGAAUAGUUUCAAUCAGAAGACCACUAACCACACGGUAAUCCUUCGGUUGAUCAGAAAUAGAUCCAUCGGAUGCAUACUUUGAUGGUAUCAGCUCCAACGUAGUGAUUGACAUGCCCCGAAUUUAGGAUGCAAGCACUUGAUUUGUCUAUCUCAGACAUAAAAAAGAGGGUAAUCUACAUCAACUGAUAUCAAGUCAUUCAAACAAUCUCAUCUGUUUCUUCUCGACUCUGUCAACGCCGGAUGGACAGAUCCUGAAUUAUGAGAAUCUGUUUAGUUAAAUAUGCUUUGGCGUAAAAGAACCUCCCAUUAAUAUGUUUAACCGAGAGAAAGAAUCAGGUGAAAAGGAACAAAAGGGUGCAUACCAUUUAUAAUUUCCUCUGGUAUAAUUUUAGAUAAGAAAGAUAUGAUCCCCAUAAAAGCACCUAUUUGACUUUGGUCUGAGCCAUUCCUUAUUCUCUUGGGCAGUGAAAUUCUACGAAAGUACUCCGUUUCAUAUUUUAUCCUGCUACCGGUCGCCGUAUUGAUGCCGAUAUGUCGUAUUGAUCUUCCAGUAACACCCGUUUGACACAUUUCUGAGAACCCUUUGCCAACAACAACCCUCGGAAAGGGCAAUCCUGGUGUGGCCUUGUCUCAAAGGUUUUGUUUUCUACCUACAUAGAGCAUUUGCACAUGGCUUUCAUAUCUAUAAUGUUUUCUUCUUGAUGUUGGACUUUCGGAAAAUUAUUUCACUAAAGAAGAGCAGUGAUCUUCGUAUCUUACCAG
This 2516-nucleotide long non-coding RNA is filed under the name Spirodela polyrhiza (greater duckweed). RNAcentral describes it as "long non-coding RNA (SPOL_LNC000630)". The record is from RNAcentral. Lineage: Eukaryota; Viridiplantae; Streptophyta; Magnoliopsida; Alismatales; Araceae.